CCUACGGGUGACUGCAGUCGAGAAUCAUUCACAAUGGGGGAAACCCUGAUGGUGCGACGCCGCGUGGGGGAAUGAAGGUCUUCGGAUUGUAAACCCCUGUCAUGUGGGAGCAAAUUAAAAAGAUAGUACCACAAGAGGAAGAGACGGCUAACUCUGUGCCAGCAGCCGCGGUAAUACAGAGGUCUCAAGCGUUGUUCGGAAUCACUGGGCGUAAAGCGUGCGUAGGCUGUUUCGUAAGUCGUGUGUGAAAGGCGCGGGCUCAACCCGCGGACGGCACAUGAUACUGCGAGACUAGAGUAAGGGAGGGGGAACCGGAAUUUUCGGUGUAGCAGUGAAAUGCGUAGAUAUCGAGAGGAACACUCGUGGCGAAGGCGGGUUCCUGGACAUUAACUGACGCUGAGGCACGAAGGCCAGGGGAGCGAAAGGGAUUAGAUACCCUUGUAGUC
Molecule: ribosomal RNA, 446 nt
Filed under: uncultured bacterium
Lineage: Bacteria
Description: partial 16S ribosomal RNA
Rfam family: Bacterial small subunit ribosomal RNA
Source: RNAcentral